GAUGAACGCUGGCGGCGUGCCUAAUACAUGCAAGUCGAGCGAACAGACGAGGAGCUUGCUCCUCUGACGUUAGCGGCGGACGGGUGAGUAACACGUGGAUAACCUACCUAUAAGACUGGGAUAACUUCGGGAAACCGGAGCUAAUACCGGAUAAUAUAUUGAACCGCAUGGUUCAAUAGUGAAAGACGGUUUUGCUGUCACUUAUAGAUGGAUCCGCGCCGCAUUAGUUAGUUGGUAAGGUAACGGCUUACCAAGGCGGCGAUGCUUAACCGACCUGAGAGGGUUAUCGGCCACACUGGAACUGAGACACGGUCCAGACUCCUACGGGAGGCAGCAGUAGGGAAUCUUCCGCAAUGGGCGAAAGCCUGACGGAGCAACGCCGCGUGAGUGAUGAAGGUCUUCGGAUCGUAAAACUCUGUUAUUAGGGAAGAACAAAUGUGUAAGUAACUAUGCACGUCUUGACGGUACCUAAUCAGAAAGCCACGGCUAACUACGUG
RNAcentral lists this ribosomal RNA (497 nucleotides) under uncultured bacterium. Its description in RNAcentral is "partial 16S ribosomal RNA". It matches the Rfam family "Bacterial small subunit ribosomal RNA", at positions 28 to 507 of the family's 1533-position model. The record is from RNAcentral.